AAUUCCUGUCCGGGAAUUGUCCUGUGCUCCAGCCAUGGCUAGGACUUAUGUGGAGGGAGUCUCCCGGAGCCUUGUGAAGCCCUUCUCGCUGUCCCGGGCUUUUGUUGGCAGCUUCCUCCUUUGAGGAGGUGCCUGCUGCAUCUGUCACUGCAGCCCUGUCUCUGGAGUGGGCGGAGGCAGCCUGGGGAACCCAUUUAUCUCCUGCAGGCUGGAAGUGUGCUAUGAGGUUCCUGGCAGAGCAAGACUCCAUCUCCCCAGCCUCCUCCAUCCGUCUCCCAGGGUGCCUUUGUUUUGAAUCAUUUUUGAUUUCAAUUUAAGAAGAGAAAGAAGAGGCUGAGAUGAAGGAAGGAGGGACUCCAGCAGCUCUGUCACUGUGCUGUCGUCCUCCACGGAGACCACUUUCACCGGGACGGCCACCGUCUUCCCCGUGAGGAUGGCUGUGUUCAGGAUUUCUGCCUCCUGGAAGACCAAACACACCCUUCCAUGACAUCCCCUCCUGAGACGGCCCAGUCCCUGGGAUUUACAGAUGGCACAGACAGCUUUUGUCACUUGCCCAGGGUCACCCAGCUAGAAAUUAAUGAAGGCAGGAUUUGAACCUGGGAAGUCCAGCUCCCGAGUCCACGCAUCAGCUAACUCAAAUAGCUCUAAACGUGGACAUGACGACGGUAGCUUAAGCCGCCGAAGGAUGGCCAGAGGGGCCUGGUGUUGUGAAAGAAGCUUGAUGAGCAGCACUGCACCACCAGUGCAAGUGCACCCAUGCUCAUCCUCAGUGACUCCUCUAGAAUUCUUGUGAUUUUUUAACUGGUGGGGGACAGAGAGAUCAUAGGAGCCCAUUUUUCAGAUAGAGAAAACUGAGCCUCAAGACCCGGGGGAGGAUCAAAAGGAACAAGUGGUAGUCUGGAAAAAAGUGGAACAAUGCUGUUUAACUUGCUGGCCGAAACUGGCUCAUCACAAAGGAGACAGACGAGGGAGCAGUGUGGCCACUUCUGACAUCAGUCUCAGGGAACACAGUUUCUCAACAUUCGUGGUAAAAAGUGAAGAGCAUCUCCACUCUAACGAUAAAAAUCAAAAGGCCUUUCAUGUUUUUGCACAUUCAGGUUAACAUAAUGAGAAAUGACGCUGGGAAUGACUGAUGAGCAGCUGUAAGCCCAUAUGUCUGGGGUGUUGCCUUUUUCUCUGAAUAGCAUACGUGUUUCUGCCUACCAAGAUCUCAGUGUGGCUGAGUGACUGAGCCUUCAGGCUUGGUAUUUCCCUGCCUCCUCUGUGGAUUUCCAAUUCUUUGACGUCAAGAAUUUUCUCUUUUGCACAGCUUUGCCUCUUCCAGGAGGUGAAUGGUACGGGGAUGACUCACAAAAGUCUUCAGAUAAGAGGCGGACAAAAGAGACCCUUGUUCAGUGGCAGAAGUACCUGCAAAGCCUUAGCUUUGCUUGAGAUAUGACCUAUAACUGCUCUGAUUUUUGGACCCCAGAAAACCCUUGAAAGCUCAGCUUCCUUAUUGCUGUGUGUUCACCUUAUAACAGCACCGCAGAGCCUAGGAAAUAAAGGCACAGACUCUCUUCAGAAAA
This 1565-nucleotide long non-coding RNA is filed under the name Pan troglodytes (chimpanzee). RNAcentral describes it as "lincRNA". The record is from RNAcentral. Lineage: Eukaryota; Metazoa; Chordata; Mammalia; Primates; Hominidae.